CUGACAGAAGAGAGUGAGCACACAAAGGCAAUUUGCAAUAUCAUUUGCAUUUGCUUCUCUUGCGUGCUCACUGCUCUAUCUGUCAG
RNAcentral lists this microRNA precursor (86 nucleotides) under Capsella rubella. Its description in RNAcentral is "mir-156 microRNA precursor family". It matches the Rfam family "mir-156 microRNA precursor family". Rfam says of the family: This family represents the plant microRNA (miRNA) precursor mir-156. Animal miRNAs are transcribed as ~70nt precursors and subsequently processed by the Dicer enzyme to give a ~22nt product. Lineage: Eukaryota; Viridiplantae; Streptophyta; Magnoliopsida; Brassicales; Brassicaceae. The record is from Rfam by way of RNAcentral.